This is a long non-coding RNA of Ruditapes philippinarum (Manila clam), 2403 nucleotides long. RefSeq lists it as uncharacterized. NCBI's taxonomy places the organism in Eukaryota, Metazoa, Mollusca, Bivalvia, Venerida, Veneridae. The transcript is spliced from 3 exons. The record is from RefSeq and is a predicted model, not a curated record.
UGUAUUUUCCAAGGUUUUCAAGAAAAAUCAUGGAAAAAACCAUGGAAGUCCAAGCUUUAAUGGCAGUUUUACUAGGAAUCCUUGGACAAUGUUGCAGUUGUCCAAGGUGAAAGGGUUUUUUUCUAACUUUUCCUUGGACAUAUUCCAUGGUUGUCUGAAAAAUUCCUAGGAAUCGCUUGGACAAUACCUGGGAAAGUAAAACAUAGUUUUUUUCAAGCUGGGAAAAUGAACACAUUCAGAUACUUAGAAAAUUUUUAGUUUGGAAUUCACUUGGAACGAAACACUUAGAAAAUUUUCAGCUUGGACAAAGGACUCAGGCAAUUUUUCUUUCAUUUUUUCAAUCAUCCUAAUGAUAAUGAAUAAUGAAUUAUUUACAUUUAUUGUCAUUAUGAUGUGCUAGAAGGAAAAGAAUAUUUAAUCCUUUUCAGAAGAUAUAAAUAGAUAUUUUAAAGAAAUAUGAUCAUUUAUUGAUUUUUGUAUUUAAUUAUUAAAUAUAAAGUUAUUAAAAAUAUCAAAUAUAAUUAUACAUGUACAUGCAUACAUAUGUAUAAUACAUACAUGUAACAUUUUUAAUACAGUAUGGAAAAUGUUCUGUUGGUUUCUAAGUUUCUAAAUGCAUUAGUAUCUUCCCUGCAGUUUGUAUCUUUAGACUUUUUUAUUUCUUGACAGCAUGUAAGCAACAGUUAAAUAAUUUUAGAAUGCUAUUAAACUUUAAUAUAAGAGUAUAUGAUUUUGUGCCAUAUAAAAUAGUACAUUCUCUGAAUAUUUGUAGACAUACAUUUAGAUUACACUUCACUCUGCCACUUAGUUUAUGUGUACAAUAAACACAUAAAUUAUAUAAUAAUUAUUGCCCAUUAUAUUAUAUAUAAUAUGCAAAAUUUGUUAAAUAUAAUAACCAGCUUGCCUGAUAAUUUCUUUAAGUCAGGAUAAAUAAAUACUGCAAACAGCAGAAUAUAACACACAGAUCAGAUAAGACUAAUGAUUACCAUCUGCCCUUCCUUCUAUCUAUGCAUGACUAAUCUGACCUCAUGGGGCAUUCUGGGAUACUGACCGGACUGUUCCAUGUGAUUAUUAAGGGAAUCUGAGCAUGAUACAUUUGUAAAAAAAUCAGUUUAGAAGGACAUUAAAACUUUGAUUUUUUACACACUUAUUAUUAUUUUCAAAUUCUACAUUUAUUUAUCAUUUGAUAUGUUUAUACAUUCAAUAAAUGUAAAAAUAUAAUGAUGGAUGUUAUGAUUUUUUUUUUUGAUAAUCCCUAUUUCACAUUAUGAUAGACCUGUCCAGACUGAAACCGUUGCAAAAUUUGAAAUCUCAGACAUUCAGUGCUAACCAUAAAGGAUCUAAGUGGCAUUCUAGCUAUUUUGGAGAUAUCAUCUUGUUUUUGAAUGUUGUGUACAUUAUUGUGGAAUUUUCAAAGAAAACAUUUAUCUAAAUGUGGAAUUGUUUGGUUGUUGUAAUUGAACUAAGAAUGACCUGAGACAGGAAGUUAUGCAAGAAUCAUAGUAAACAGUUUCAGGAACAGCUGUAUGGAUAUGUAAAGUACAGUGAUGACUUCUCAAAAGCCAGCAAGCUCCUGUUCAGAAAACUUUAUAGUGUUGAAGAAUACAGGGGCAGGUGUUUUACUGGCAACAGUACCAACACUAAAACCAAAAUCAAUUAAGGCCAGCAUUGGAGGACACAAUAUUACUGAAAGUCUUUCAUGAGUUGAUCAAGAGAAAAUGACCAUAAUAAUGUGACUUUUGAAGCUGUCCAGAAAUUGACAUUGACAUUGAUGUUACCAAGAGGAAUAAAAAUUGUUUUAAUAGUUAUAAUAUUUUAUGUUUUGUAUUCUACCAGUGUUACAUAUAGUGUUUAAAAGUGAUGGAGGGCGAGUUUAUCAAUAUGUCAGGGAUUAAGGCAACUAGUUAUAAGAAUGAUGAAAAUUCCAUAUCUCAAAGGGGCUAUUGUAAGAAAGCACAGAAAUUACAAGCAUCAAAGAUACAGCGUCUAUGGCUUUGCAAGAUCAUGAAGAUGUCCUAGUAUUUUCCCAGGUUUUCCAAGGUUUUUUUCACUUGAAGAACCUUGGACAAUUCCAAGGAAAAUAACAUUGGACUUCCAUGGAAAUGUCCAAGCUUUCCGAGGAUGUCUAUGUAAAUGUCCAAGCUUUCCAAGGAUGUCCAAUGAAAAAACCUUGGUCCCAAUACUCCAAGGUUUCCAAGGUUUAUGGCAUAUGUUCAUGGAAACCUUGUACAAGCUCCAAGGUUUCCAAGCAUUAGUCCAAGCAUUUGUCCUAGGAAAGACCCUGCCAUUUUUGUUCUUAAUUUACUCUUAUUGUAUUGAAAAAGUAUACCCAAUACUCCAAGGUUUUUUCCAUGAAAAAUUCCCUGAUAUUGUCCAAGGAAACCUUGGAAAUUGUACAGCCGG